CCUACGGGUGGCAGCAGUGGGGAAUAUUGGACAAUGGGGGAAACGCUGAAGCAGCGACGCCGCGUGAGGGAAGAAGGAAUUCGGAAUGUAAAGCUCUAUUAGUAGGGAAGAAAAUGACGGUACCUGAGGAAGAAGCACAGGCUAACUACGUGACAGCAGCCGCGGUAAUACGGAGGGGGCAAGCGUUAUCCGGAGUAACGGGGGGUAAAGGGGGCGUAGGCGGCAUUGCAAGUCCGGCGGUAAAGGCGGGGGCUUAACCUCCGUACUGCCUUUGAAACUGGUCUUCUUGAGUGAACGAGAGGUAUGUGGAAUGCGUGGUGUAGCGGUGAAAUGCGUAGAUAUCAGGAAGAACACCGAUUGCGAAGGCGGCAUACCGGAGCCUAACUGACGCUGAGGCACGAAAGCGUGGGGAGCAAACAGGAUUAGAUACCCGUGUAGUC
This 440-nucleotide ribosomal RNA is filed under the name uncultured bacterium. Its description in RNAcentral is "partial 16S ribosomal RNA". It matches the Rfam family "Bacterial small subunit ribosomal RNA", at positions 338 to 795 of the family's 1533-position model. The record is from RNAcentral.